This is a long non-coding RNA of Telopea speciosissima, 123 nucleotides long. RefSeq lists it as uncharacterized. Lineage: Eukaryota; Viridiplantae; Streptophyta; Magnoliopsida; Proteales; Proteaceae. The transcript has 4 exons. The record is from RefSeq and is a predicted model, not a curated record.
UGGGUUAGCCUCCAGCUUGGCCACCACAUCUUCCACUGCAUCUAUCAAUUCUUGAUCCAUCCCAAGUCUUUGCUUGUAUUGGUACUUGGGAUUAAGAUAAUAUGCUAAAAUUGACAAUAUUAU